UUUUGAGAUGUGCAAUGUCAGGGUACAAAGUGUACGGUCCAAACAUAAUCCGUACACUCCCAUGGAGAAACCUUGGACGCCAAGUCAUGAAGAAACAUGGUUGAACGUUAUUCACAAAGAAAGGAUCCAAAUGGCAUCUUAUCUUGCCUUGGAAAGCAUCAGGCAAGAUGCUCUUGCUACUGUCCGUUUAUGGAUAAGGUGUGGUCCCCUAUUGGCUUAUUCAGUCCACAAGAACAGCUCAUGACAGCCUGUAAAGGACAGACACACCCAAGACUCCCAUUGGCCAAGCAUGUGAUGAUUCUGGUCCAUAGAAUUCAAAAUAGGCACUCCUCCUUAGUUUGACUUCACAUGCUUGUGGUUUCUGAUGUGAAAACCCUAGUAGCUCGUGACCUUUCAUAUUUGAGCUCCUUAUUGUCAAUUGUAAACAUUUUCAAGAGAGUAAGGGGGAUUUCCCCUUCUCCUUCAUAGUCUUUGGUUACUUUGAAUCUCUCAAUCUCUAUUCUUUUGAUUACUCUGUUCUGGUUACUUAAUCUCAUACUCUCAGUCCCUUAUUCUCACUCAAUCUCCCAUAAUCUCUCUUAUACUUCCAUUCACUAAAUCUCACCUCCAUUAGUCUCUCUUCACCAUUUCAAGUUCUCUCUAGCCCUUGUGAGUUUGUUCAACACUUAUACAGCCUGAGACUCUGUAAAUCUUAUAUGGUAUCAGAGCCAGGUUCAUCAGAACCUGGUAGAAGCUUCCGCAUAUCCAUUACAAGCUCAUCCUCAUCUCAAAUCCAAGCCUUUGAAGAUCUGUCAAAACCGGCUACAUCUCUUCAAGAAGAAGCAGACCAAAGCCAUGGCGUUCUCUCAUGGUCUCUCCACCUUUCUCCUACCCACUUUCAAAUCAGGUGAUCCCAGUGUUCCUGUUUGGGAAUAUGACAACUUCCUCGUCAUUCUCAUCAAACCAGGAUGAAUCGCGAUGUAAGAAGAUGUAUUUGGAUACAUAAAGAAGUGGAGAAUCACCAGGAAGUGGAAUAAAUCUCAUAGGAAUUAGGAUGAAGAAGUUAUCCCACUUUCAAAUCAGGUGGAGUUGGCGACUUGGAAACAUGAAGAAAGGAGUGGUCUUUACAGUUUGAGAUACAAGAAGGUGGUCAUAAAGACAAGGAGGAGCUGUUAGGUGGCGAGUCUACAUCUCCAUUCCAUCAAAAUGUCAUGACCUGGUGCCUAGGAGGUUCAAGGAAUUAGCACAGAUUCCUUGGGUGUAAGCCAAUCCUUUUCCCUUCUUGAUAUGAGCUUGUAUUAUUGCUUGGUGGUAGUUGAGUGUUGUUAUUGGAUCGUUGGGUUGAUUGAACUUUUUGCUAGAUGGUAUUGUCUAGUUACUGUCCCAGGAUGCUUUAUGAGACUUGUUUGGUGUUCUUGAUGAUAUAUGCCAUGCCGUGAGUCUUGAAUGUGUUGCUAGGAUGCUAGAUGGUAUUGUCUCAUCCGCUGGUUGCAUUCAUGAUGUCUAAAACUGUUGUUAAGGUGUUUUGCAUUAUCAUUUUGUUGCUGCCUUAAGAUUGAAACAUCUUGAUUAAUGUCUAAGAUGGUGGUUAAGGUGGUUAACUAUUAUUGCCUAAAUACUAUGGGUUUAAUCAUUGAUCAUACAUAAGUAUUUAGAGAAUGUGCUUGCAUAGAUUAGGACUUGAUAUUAUCAUGAUUCUGUCUGCUGCAUUGACUUGCGUAUUUCCAUAGCUCAAAUCACCAUGAAUAUGUUGUAGGAAUGAGUAGAAUGUCUCAACUGAUUACAUCAUGAUUGAUAAGCUAUUUUGCAUAUAUAAGCAUGUCUCAUACUGUCUAAGUUCAAUCCUAUUAUUGUCUGAUCUCUUCUUGCAUUCAUAAAUAGAAACUGAUUAAGGUUAUUGCUUUAAUGAGGGAGGUCUUCAUGGUUUCCAAGCUUGACUUGUUCUACAUGGUCAAGCUUGAGGGGGAGUGUUGAGAAGAGGUGAUACAUUGAUAGAGGAAGAGUAUUGGGGCAGAUAGUAACUUUGGAGUUUUACCACAGUAACUUCGGUUUGACUGUGGUAACUAAGUUAAAAGCUUAGGAAGUUACUUUGCAUCCCUUUGGAGAGUGGAUCACGCCCAAGAGGAAGUCUGGAUAAGGAAGGAGUAGUUUGGAUAAGGUCUGGUCAUAGCUGGAAAGGUAAAGCACCUUUACAGCCUGUCCAAGCAUGUGAAGCAUCUUUACAGCCUAUCCCUUGACUUCACAUGCUUAUGAUUUCGAAAUCCUCUUUGUAUUAUCCUUAUCUCUUCAUAUAUAACUUGUAUCUGAGACAUUAAAUUAAUUAAUGGAGUUUUGAGUAUUCUCUCUAUUCUCUCUCUACUUAUUCUCUUAAUCUCUUUAAUCUUACACAAAACAAUCUGAUUGUUCUUAAACACACUCUAAUACACAAAAGUGUAUAUGGUAUCAGAGCCAGGUUACUAAAAGGGUGGAAGUGUGUUAUUCAUGUUCUUAAAAAAUCUGGUUUUGUGUUCUUGAGCUGUUCUUGAUGUUCUUGAGUGUUCUUGGUGGUUUUGAGCUCUGUUCUUCAUUUGCUGGGUUUUAUUGAGGACAUCUGAUGGAGUCAAACGUGAGCAGAGAGAUGAAGACAAGAUCAAGUUAUCAAGUGAAGAAAGGGAGCGAAAACAACUUGAUAUUGGUCAAGGAUUGAUUCCAAUGCUUGUGUCUUAUCUUUGCUGGAGUUUGAGUGAUGUUUCAGAUUCACAUGAUGUGCUCUUUGUUCAUCAUCAAUCUUAGUAAAAGAGGAAGACUUUACCCAUUGGGAAUGGUCGCUGGGGUGUAUGUGGAUACACAAGGCGAAUGGUCAUCACCUAAGUCUGGAGGAGACUGGUGACCAGAAGGCAUUGGAGAUAAAGGGAAGGGUUGAUCAGUGGAUGAAGCGCAAUCCAUGAGAUGUUGCGCUCCUGAUCUUAAGGCUCAUUGAGGCUCACUUCAAGCUUGGACCCAUACUCAAUCCAAGCUUGAGGAGCAAAGUGAGCCACCUGAUGAUCCUGUUGCUCAAUGACCUGUAUUACUCAAGGUCAUUACAAGCUGAUCAUGGAGUGAUUCAGCCGAAGUAGAGGGAAGAAGAAGGUCACUCAACAAGGCGUGUGAGGUGCUUGGAGAGUUGGCUGAGGUAUCUCCUCAAUGGAAUAAUGAUGUGGUGGAGGUUCAAGCAUCAAGUCCAAAGGAGAUGGAGGUGCUUUCCACAAGACUUAUCAUGGAGCUAUCAUGCGCUCACCAUCAAGCUUAGACCUUCCCUAUACUUGGUCUCAAGCCUGAAGAGGAGUGUGGAUGAGCUUGCAUGAUAAGAGAAGGAGCUGUUAAGCUCAGCAAGUGAGGGAUUCAAGUGGUGUGUGAAGAGCAGCCACCCCUCACCAUUUAUACAAGGGAGUAAACCUGAUCUUUAUCUCUUUCUAUACAAUCAUGAUAGGUUUAUCUCUUGAAAUUGUCUUGCAUCAAUUAGGUGCUGUCUAAGUUAUUGCAUUCAUGCAUUGAACUGUCAGAUUGAUCAUGCAUUGUUACCCUUGUCUAGAUUGUGCUUGUUCUUGAUCUUUUGUUUGCCUGUUUAGAAUUAAUAUUUUGUUGAGGCAUUGGUGAUCAAACAAGAUGUGUGAUCUUGCUUUGGUCCCAAUAGGAUGAUUUAAUUGUGCAUUGAGUUGUGGUGGUUUUAGGUACACAAGCAGUGAUACAAGUAACUCACCAACAACAAAGAAUGUAAAGACAAAGGUCCUUUGCCAUUGCAUAUCAUCACUAGGACAUGUCAGUCCCCAAUCUACAGGAAGUGUAGUGUGAUUGAUUAUGCAAUGAGAGAUGGCUAUUGCAUAAUACCAUUAGGACAUGUCUAGUCCUUAGUCUACAGGAAGUGUAGCAUGGGACAUUAUGCAAUAAGAAGUGUAACUUGUGAGACUCUUUAUGGUGAUUCAAACACCCUAGUUCCUGGUAUAAGGAAGAGAGCAGCUCACAAGACCGAGACCAUCACCACAGUCUGUUGAGACCGUGGUCUAAGGCCAUGAAAGUGCUUACACCCACACAAGCUUAGUUCCAAAUCAAAGUCUCGGAAACUAAGCUUGAGGGGGGAAUGUUAAAUAAGCAAGGUUCAUGGCCUGAUAGGUCUUUGCAAAGGCUUCUAAGAAGAACCAUCAACCGGGCCAAGUCAGUGGCGUAUCUAGGCAAGAGGCUGUUCAGAGCAGUCUUGGCAAGUGAGGAGGAAGGCUCUCCAUCAAUGCGGCUUCAAUGAGAGGUGGCUGAGGAGAAGCUGAUAAACCCAUUUAGUCAUCCAACAAGUUGAUGGUGCCAAGAAGAUGAUGCAUUGGCCGAGUGGGAAACUCACCAAAAAUAAAAAGGGAAGUCUACUUAUCAUGUUACUCAAGAUGAUAGACUUAUCUCCUUAAAAUUCAUUGAAUUAAUGCAGCUUAGUCUGAAAAGAUAAGCCUAUGUACUUGGAUUUCUCUCCUAAAGAACUGAGGCACUGCGUUCAUAUUGUUGAAUCAGGUAGUUUUGAUCUUGAUAAGCAACCUUUAGGAGAUAGAUGUGAUACCUACAGAGACUACUUGAGGGAGGAUCAAGUGGAGAGUCAAGCUGUAUCAGUCCCUAAGAUGAGCCGGUACAAGGGAAUGUGUACAAGUGGAGGAUGCGUAUGCUCAUAGAAAGCUCCUCACCAAAACAAAAAGGGAAGUAUCCCUUAGUCUCUUUCAGUUCAAUUCAUUCUUCUCUUAAGUGCUUAAGCUUGAGAAAGUUACUAGAAAUGAAUUGAUUGAACUGUGAUUAUACUGAAAAAGAUUGAUUGAAUUGUGUGCAUCAAUUGUGAUGCAGGAUAUUCAAAUUCUUGGUUCUUGAUAAGUACUGAUGCACCUUUGGGAUAAUGUAUCAGGUACCAUUGCUUGGGCCUCACUGAAGUGUUCCUGGUCGUUCCCUAGCUUCUCUAAGAUGGCUGUGAAGUCAGUUGAGAGGGGGAGACUUCAAACUGGUUCCAUGAAGAGGUGAAGCUGAAGUGUGUGCAAAGCUGUAAAGAGUUGCUGCACCUAUUAGGCCGUGAUCCAGAGCUUCUUGUGUCCAACCACAUUGGUUCUAAGGCACAAGAGCUCACUGGCCAAUCCCUAGGCUUUGGAGAGCUCUACUCUUUUUCCCUUGCAAGGUUUUGUCCCAAUGGGUUUUCCUUGUAAGGUUUUUAAUGAGGGAGACUCUUCGUCAUUCUAAUGAAAUCAGGAUGAAUCUGUUGAACUGAAGAGAAGAUGGAGCUUGUACAUUAGUAGGACAAGCUCCAGAAGAUGUUCAGAAAGUUUUCCUUGUAAGGUUUUUAAUGAGGGAGACUCUUCAGGGUUCCAAGCUUGACUUAGGAUCUCCUAGAGUCAAGCUUGAGGGGGAGUGUUGAACUGAAGAGAAGAUGGAGCUUGUACAUUAGUAGGACAAGCUCCAGAAGAUGUUCAGAAGAGUUCUUAUUAGCUUCAGAAGUGUCUAGAAGCGGCUAUCAUGGUGAAGUUAAGUCCAGGAGGGACUUAGAAUGAUCUUGUGAAGACAUUGGAGGAGUUAAGGAAAGAAUGGUUGAUAGUGCAAUGUUAGGGUCGAUGGUACGGCUGGCCAUACGGACAGUACGGACAGGAAAGACCCGAAACACUUUCUAUCAACCUUUGAGGAGAUUUUGAGAUGUGCAAUGUCAGGGUACAAAGUGUACGGUCCAAACAUAAUCCGUACACUCCCAUGGAGAAACCUUGGACGCCAAGUCAUGAAGAAACAUGGUUGAACGUUAUUCACAAAGAAAGGAUCCAAAUGGCAUCUUAUCUUGCCUUGGAAAGCAUCAGGCAAGAUGCUCUUGCUACUGUCCGUUUAUGGAUAAGGUGUGGUCCCCUAUUGGCUUAUUCAGUCCACAAGAACAGCUCAUGACAGCCUGUAAAGGACAGACACACCCAAGACUCCCAUUGGCCAAGCAUGUGAUGAUUCUGGUCCAUAGAAUUCAAAAUAGGCACUCCUCCUUAGUUUGACUUCACAUGCUUGUGGUUUCUGAUGUGAAAACCCUAGUAGCUCGUGACCUUUCAUAUUUAAGCUCCUUAUUGUCAAUUGUAAACAUUUUCAAGAGAGUAAGGGGGAUUUCCCCUUCUCCUUCAUAGUCUUUGGUUACUUUGAAUCUCUCAAUCUCUAUUCUUUUGAUUACUCUGUUCUGGUUACUUAAUCUCAUACUCUCAGUCCCUUAUUCUCACUCAAUCUCCCAUAAUCUCUCUUAUACUUCCAUUCACUAAAUCUCACCUCCAUUAGUCUCUCUUCACCAUUUCAAGUUCUCUCUAGCCCUUGUGAGUUUGUUCAACACUUAUACAGCCUGAGACUCUGUAAAUCUUAUAGAAUCGUGAUGUAAGAAAAUGUAUUGGUAUCAGAGCCAGGUUCAUCAGAACCUGGUAGAAGCUUCCGCAUAUCCAUUACAAGCUCAUCCUCAUCUCAAAUCCAAGCCUUUGAAGAUCUGUCAAAACCGGCUACAUCUCUUCAAGAAGAAGCAGACCAAAGCCAUGGCGUUCUCUCAUGGUCUCUCCACCUUUCUCCUGUCCAUUAAAGGCGUGCCUCACCUCCUGGUUAAGAUGAAACCUCUCAAGGAGAGAGCUUUCCCUUUGCUCAUGGAGUUGGCGACUUGGAAACAUGAAGAAAGGAGUGGUCUUUACAGUUUGAGAUACAAGAAGGUGGUCAUAAAGACAAGGAGGAGCUGUUAGGUGGCGAGUCUACAUCUCCAUUCCAUCAAAAUGUCAUGACCUGGUGCCUAGGAGGUUCAAGGAAUUAGCACAGAUUCCUUGGGUGUAAGCCAAUCCUUUUCCCUUCUUGAUAUGAGCUUGUAUUAUUGCUUGGUGGUAGUUGAGUGUUGUUAUUGGAUCGUUGGGUUGAUUGAACUUUUUGCUAGAUGGUAUUGUCUAGUUACUGUCCCAGGAUGCUUUAUGAGACUUGUUUGGUGUUCUUGAUGAUAUAUGCCAUGCCGUGAGUCUUGAAUGUGUUGCUAGGAUGCUAGAUGGUAUUGUCUCAUCCGCUGGUUGCAUUCAUGAUGUCUAAAACUGUUGUUAAGGUGUUUUGCAUUAUCAUUUUGUUGCUGCCUUAAGAUUGAAACAUCUUGAUUAAUGUCUAAGAUGGUGGUUAAGGUGGUUAACUAUUAUUGCCUAAAUACUAUGGGUUUAAUCAUUGAUCAUACAUAAGUAUUUAGAGAAUGUGCUUGCAUAGAUUAGGACUUGAUAUUAUCAUGAUUCUGUCUGCUGCAUUGACUUGCGUAUUUCCAUAGCUCAAAUCACCAUGAAUAUGUUGUAGGAAUGAGUAGAAUGUCUCAACUGAUUACAUCAUGAUUGAUAAGCUAUUUUGCAUAUAUAAGCAUGUCUCAUACUGUCUAAGUUCAAUCCUAUUAUUGUCUGAUCUCUUCUUGCAUUCAUAAAUAGAAACUGAUUAAGGUUAUUGCAUAUUUGUUGAGAAGAGGUGAUACAUUGAUAGAGGAAGAGUAUUGGGGC
RNAcentral lists this long non-coding RNA (7463 nucleotides) under Brassica napus (rape). RNAcentral's name for it is "long non-coding RNA (BNAP_LNC013442)". Lineage: Eukaryota; Viridiplantae; Streptophyta; Magnoliopsida; Brassicales; Brassicaceae. The record is from RNAcentral.